This 2145-nucleotide long non-coding RNA is filed under the name Dromaius novaehollandiae (emu). RNAcentral's name for it is "lncRNA (ENSDNVG00000013361.1)". Lineage: Eukaryota; Metazoa; Chordata; Aves; Casuariiformes; Dromaiidae. The record is from RNAcentral.
ACAGAGCUGUAUUUUUUGCUGAACGAUUCACUUCCCACAACUGUUAYUACUUCGCCAGCCUACCCUGAGGUUGCAGGAGCGACUGAGAUGUCCUCAGAGAAGCAGGCAGGGAAACGACCUGUAAGUCAUUACUGUUGUAAGCUGCAUGGAGAACUUUGGAUCUUGAAAGGUAAGAGCRUUUCAGAUAAAUCUCCACAAUGUUGGCACAGAUGUUUAAAGCAUUGCUUAAAUCCCUUGAUUAACCCAGUUUCUCAAUAUUUGACAUAAAUCAAUAACUGAGAUUUCUUUGCUGUUCUCUAGCUUUGUAAAUAUUUAUCCAUCCAGUCCCAUGAAAUAUGACAAUAUUUAAUCCUGUUGAAGUAAUUCUUUGUAUGCUGCAUAUGAAGAGAUAUAAUAGUUCCAGUGAUGCUAGUUAAACAAUUGGCACUAAGGAUGAAAUCUGCUGCCUUUCUUUUGCAAAUAACUGGGAUUUAUACGCUGUAAAUGUGAGUGAAUGGAAAGUAAAAUCCACCUUCUGUCACAGCACUUGGGCCAGCUGCUGGGAAUGCAAAUUUCCUGGUUCUGGCUUGCGCCUGAGCCUACGGCUCAGCCUUAACAGCAGCCUUUUGUACCAAUUAAAUGAGGUACUGAGAGCUAGAUCGGGGUAAACAGCGAAAGGAUGGCACUGCUGUUACUUGUCCUCAGCCUUGCGAGGAGGUACCAUGUUUUACCGUACUUGCCUGUGCACCCUGGGCACGAGGAAGAUGCUCUGCCCGYGGUUUCCGCGACCUGGGGAAGCCUUGGUGCUGGCCCUGCUGCCUGUGGCUGAGAUUCCUCCUAACGUGCCGGUUUGCAGCAGGUGUGCUCCUCGUCUCUAGGUACUGCAGAAGUGGAAGGGCCUGAGGAUGACGAGGAAGGGGAGAAGCAUUACAGUGGCACAAGAUGCCUCAAGUUCAUCAGCAGGACUUUGGAAGUGCAUCUUCCUUCAGUUAUUAUUUGUUCUUAAAAGAGGGAAUAACGUUUUGUCAUCCACAUCGGAGGAGCAGUUUUUCUCUCCUUUGAUACGCAGCAGCACUCAGGAGUCCUCGUCGCAGGAAGCAGCCAGAGAGCAGAGGCGGCGAGAGGGCAGGUUCGGGUGGCUCGCACCAAGCCCUGCGGGCGCGUGACGACCCCCCUGCACCCCCCCGGGGACGGGGCAGGGCCGCGCAAGAAGAAGCARCUGACAACAGCUGCUGACAGAUGAGUCCUGGAGAGGGUUGAAGCCGCGGCRCUUACGGGAACUUGGGAGUUUGCGAUGACCUGAGCUCACCACGGUGUCAGGUAUCUGAAAUUUGGCAGCAGACAGCUAUCAGCCAGCUCUUACACAUGAAAAACUAUUACAAAACAAAAGACAUGUACAGAGUGUUCCCCAGUAUCUGUGUAACUACCACGUAAGAAAGGAAGGUACAUCCCUAGCCUUAGAGCUGUAGAGCAAAGGUAUCCAGCUUCAGGUGAGAAACCAGGAGUCUCUGUGUCGGCAGCCAGGAGAGGUCCGAGCUGCUGGGUCCACAGGGCUGAAGUUCCCCCUCCACGUGGACAAUAGGUUGCAUUUAACUAGCAGGAGCUUGAGGUUUUUUGAAGUCAUAUAUCUUUCGUGCAGUAGAAGAUACCAAGUGAGACGUGAAGAAUUGAGCUCACACACCGUUUAUCCAGAUUUUGUACCAAGCAGGACCGAUGGCAGAACAGAGCUUCCCUCUUCCAGGCCCACGCUGAAAUCAAAGCCCGCUGCCAAAGGCUGAGGCACACAACGCUUGUGAGUGGGUUUUUUUGCCUGGACAGGAAUAAGCUAUCAGAGCUUAUUCCUCAGAGAAGUCCCAUGGCGAGGUGAUUCUUUAAGCUGUGUUUGCUCAUAGUACUAAAGAUAAAACUGCUAAUGUAUCUUUCAUGAAUGUGCCUAUCCCGUGAUUCGUUCACUCAGAAUGAUGGUUUCUCUUGACCUUAGGCUAAGAUUUAAUAGAUGGGGAAAAGAUAAAUUUAGGAAAGCUCUAUAAUCCAGUGACAACAAUACUCAUACUUUUAUACUUUCUUGCAUGUUUUCUAGCAUGCCAUGAAGAGUAAUAAGUGGCAAAAGCUAAAGUGUCCUUGGCAAACAAACAAACAAACAGAAUAGCACCCGGUGUGCUAUUU